UCGAGCCGGUGAAGAUUUAAUCAAAUUAUGGGCUAACUUGAACAGAUCCGUAAUAAUCUGGAGUAUGUUUUUUCAUGAUGUUGAACGUUUACAUGCAUAUUGGUCAGCUUUAUCAACCUUUCUGAUCGAUUUUUUUUCCUUUGAAAAAAUAACCAGUCUGGUUGCGGAUGAAUCUCCAGUCGUCAGCCUAACCUCUCCCUCCCGAUCCCUCCAUGGAUUCUUCGAAGAUUCAAGCUCCAAAAAUGAUUAUAGACCGACACUGGCUGUAGUACUCAGAGACUGAAGACGGUCCGAUGCAGUAGAGGAGCAUGUUGGUGUCUCCGGCCAAACGUCACGAACAGCCCAACAACCUGAAGACAAUCUGUUAGUGAUGGACAUCUCUCUGGUGGAGUGCAGAGAGGAUCUGUCUCUUAUCAACAGAAACAGAAACUGGAUAAGAAAUGAUGGAUCUGAAUAUCAGGUUGGUCUGUUAUGUACU
Long non-coding RNA from Poecilia latipinna (sailfin molly), 478 nucleotides. RefSeq lists it as uncharacterized. The record is from RefSeq and is a predicted model, not a curated record. Lineage: Eukaryota; Metazoa; Chordata; Actinopteri; Cyprinodontiformes; Poeciliidae. The transcript is spliced from 3 exons.